Molecule: ribosomal RNA, 499 nt
Filed under: uncultured bacterium
Lineage: Bacteria
Description: partial 16S ribosomal RNA
Rfam family: Bacterial small subunit ribosomal RNA
Source: RNAcentral
ACUCAAAUGAAUUGACGGGGACCCGCACAAGCGGUGGAGGAUGUGGUUUAAUUCGACGCAACGCGAAGAACCUUACCAAGGCUUGACAUCUACAGAAGUUGGUGGAAACACUGAUGUGCCCGAAAGGGAACUGUAAGACAGGUGGUGCAUGGCUGUCGUCAGCUCGUGUCGUGAGAUGUUGGGUUAAGUCCCGCAACGAGCGCAACCCUCGAUGUUAGUUGCCAUCAUUAAGUUGGGCACUCUAACGUGACUGCCGGUGAUAAGCCGGAGGAAGGUGAGGACGACGUCAAGUCAUCAUGCCCCUUACGUCUUGGGCUACACACGUCCUACAAUGGCAUAGACAAAGAGCUGCAAGGCCGCAAGGUCAAGCGAAUCUCAUAAACUAUGUCUCAGUUCGGAUUGUGGGCUGCAACUCGCCCACAUGAAGUCGGAAUCGCUAGUAACCGUAGAUCAGCAUGCUACGGUGAAUACGUUCCCGGGUCUUGUACACACCGCCCGU